CGGCGGGCGGCCACGGGGGAAGGCGGAGCCAGGCGCCGGGCCCUGCCCGGCUGCGGGGAGAGACAUUGAGAUACGCUCAGCCAUUGCUUUCUUAUUAUAAGCAACCAUUUGCAGUGCUUGAAGCAAAACAAGUGGAGAUUUGAUGUUUCUCAAAGAUGCACAUGCUACUGACAGUGAUCCUGGAAAUGACCCUUUUGCAGCUGCCAGCACAGAGGUAUAUCAUAGAACAAAUGAACUCUACGUCUUAGAGAUCCUAAUUCUCCACGGUGUGCAUGAUGUACAAAAUGGAACUUAAAAAUGAAGCAGAAUCCUGAGGUUUGCCACAGGGGGGCCCUAAAACUAGUGGCUUUUAGCCAUCCUUGAAAAGGACCUCCUCAGUUCUCCCCUGUGGUUCUCCUACCAGUCAUAACAGCACAGCUGAGCCAGCAGCUACACUAUAAUUAACUGCCUAGUCUGUAGUUGUGCUUUCUGUCCCUACUGAGGAAAAGGAAAUAUCACAGAGCAUGCAAGAAGAG
Molecule: long non-coding RNA, 515 nt
Organism: Gymnogyps californianus (California condor)
Lineage: Eukaryota; Metazoa; Chordata; Aves; Accipitriformes; Cathartidae
Exons: 3
Source: RefSeq, a predicted model, not a curated record